UACGAAGGUGGCGAGCGUUGUUCGGAAUCACUGGGCUUAAAGCGCGCGUAGGCGGAAAAGAAAGUGUCUUGUGAAAUCCCUCGGCUUAACCGAGGAACUGCUUGGCAAACUACUUUUCUUGAGGCAAGUAGGGGUACAUGGAACUCUUGGUGGAGCGGUGGAAUGCGUAGAUAUCAAGAGGAACGCCAAUGGUGAAGACAGUGUACUGGGCUUGUCCUGACGCUGAGGUGCGAAAGCGUGGGGAGCGAACGGGAUUAGAUACCCCCGUA
RNAcentral lists this ribosomal RNA (269 nucleotides) under uncultured prokaryote. RNAcentral's name for it is "partial 16S ribosomal RNA". It matches the Rfam family "Bacterial small subunit ribosomal RNA", at positions 524 to 792 of the family's 1533-position model. The record is from RNAcentral.